RNAcentral lists this ribosomal RNA (494 nucleotides) under uncultured bacterium. RNAcentral's name for it is "partial 16S ribosomal RNA". It matches the Rfam family "Bacterial small subunit ribosomal RNA", at positions 28 to 523 of the family's 1533-position model. The record is from RNAcentral.
GAUGAACGCUGGCGGCGUGCUUAACACAUGCAAGUCGAACGGGAAUUACUUUAUUGAAACUUCGGUCGAUUUAAUUUAAUUCUAGUGGCGGACGGGUGAGUAACGCGUGGGUAACCUGCCUUAUACAGGGGGAUAACAGUCAGAAAUGGCUGCUAAUACCGCAUAAGCGCACAGAGCUGCAUGGCUCAGUGUGAAAAACUCCGGUGGUAUAAGAUGGACCCGCGUUGGAUUAGCUAGUUGGUGGGGUAACGGCCCACCAAGGCGACGAUCCAUAGCCGGCCUGAGAGGGUGAACGGCCACAUUGGGACUGAGACACGGCCCAGACUCCUACGGGAGGCAGCAGUGGGGAAUAUUGCACAAUGGGGGAAACCCUGAUGCAGCGACGCCGCGUGAAGGAAGAAGUAUCUCGGUAUGUAAACUUCUAUCAGCAGGAAAGAUAAUGACGGUACCUGACUAAGAAGCCCCGGCUAACUACGUGCCAGCAGCCGCCGUAA